AUUGAACGCUGGCGGCAGGCCUAACACAUGCAAGUCGAACGGUAACAGGAAGAAGCUUGCUUCUUUGCUGACGAGUGGCGGACGGGUGAGUAAUGUCUGGGAAACUGCCUGAUGGAGGGGGAUAACUACUGGAAACGGUAGCUAAUACCGCAUAACGUCGCAAGACCAAAGAGGGGGACCUUCGGGCCUCUUGCCAUCGGAUGUGCCCAGAUGGGAUUAGCUUGUUGGUGGGGUAACGGCUCACCAAGGCGACGAUCCCUAGCUGGUCUGAGAGGAUGACCAGCCACACUAGAACUGAGACACGGUCCAGACUCCUACGGGAGGCAGCAGUGGGGAAUAUUGCACAAUGGGCGCAAGCCUGAUGCAGCCAUGCCGCGUGUAUGAAGAAGGCCUUCGGGUUGUAAAGUACUUUCAGCGGGGAGGAAGGGAGUAAAGUUAAUACCUUUGCUCAUUGACGUUACCCGCAGAAGAAGCACCGGCUAACUCCGUG
RNAcentral lists this ribosomal RNA (490 nucleotides) under uncultured bacterium. RNAcentral's name for it is "partial 16S ribosomal RNA". It matches the Rfam family "Bacterial small subunit ribosomal RNA", at positions 30 to 507 of the family's 1533-position model. The record is from RNAcentral.